AAGUAGUAACAAUCUAGCUUAAAACUAAGCUAUAAAGGCGGCUUUUCAUAUAAAUGAAGGAACUCGUUUCUUAAUCGACAACCCUCGUUAUUUUUAACUUUUUUUUAAAACUCGUAUACCUCCGUGUAAAUAAUUUUGUAUUUUUACAAUAAAUAGCUAAUAAAUUAGGUCAAGGUGCAGUCUACAUUUAAGUAGAAAUAAGUUACAAUAAUACAGAUUUACAUUAAUUAACUAAAACUUUAUUAAUAUAGGAUUCACUAGUAUUUAUAUAUUAUUAAUAUACUAAGAAAAUUUAUAAAAGUGC
This 304-nucleotide ribosomal RNA is filed under the name Nops sp. NP12. Its description in RNAcentral is "partial 12S ribosomal RNA". The record is from RNAcentral. Lineage: Eukaryota; Metazoa; Arthropoda; Arachnida; Araneae; Caponiidae.